This 419-nucleotide ribosomal RNA is filed under the name uncultured bacterium. RNAcentral describes it as "bacterial SSU rRNA". It matches the Rfam family "Bacterial small subunit ribosomal RNA", at positions 355 to 774 of the family's 1533-position model. The record is from RNAcentral.
UGAGGAAUAUUGCGCAAUGGGCGAAAGCCUGACGCAGCAACGCCGCGUGGAUGAUGAAGUUCUUCGGAAUGUAAAAUCCUUUUGCAGGGGACGAAUAUGCUGGCUUGCCAGCACUGACGGUACCUUGCGAAUAAGCCACGGCUAACUACGUGCCAGCAGCCGCGGUAAAACGUAGGAGGCAAGCGUUAUCCGGAUUCACUGGGUGUAAAGCGCGUGCAGGCGGUUCGGUAAGUUGGGCGUGAAAUCUCCUGGCUCAACUAGGAGAGGUCGUUCAAUACUACCGGACUUGAGAGUGGUAGAGGAAGAUGGAAUUCCCGGUGUAGUGGUGAAAUGCGUAGAUAUCGGGAGGAACACCAGUGGCGAAGGCGAUCUUCUGGACCAUUUCUGACGCUCAGACGCGACAGCUAGGGUAGCAAACG